RNAcentral lists this transfer RNA (66 nucleotides) under Athalia scapulata. Its description in RNAcentral is "tRNA-Ala". Lineage: Eukaryota; Metazoa; Arthropoda; Insecta; Hymenoptera; Athaliidae. The record is from RNAcentral.
AGGAAAAUAGUUAAAUUAUAACAUUUGAUUUGCAUUCAAAAAUUAUUACACUAUUAAUUUUUCUUA